RNAcentral lists this long non-coding RNA (4337 nucleotides) under Mus musculus (house mouse). Its description in RNAcentral is "long non-coding RNA chr7:91048998-91053335". The record is from RNAcentral. Lineage: Eukaryota; Metazoa; Chordata; Mammalia; Rodentia; Muridae.
GGAGAGGAUGGAAGGGUGUUGGAGAUCAAAGUCAGAUCCUGAUGCCUGUGUAGCAAGAAUUUCACCUAAUGAGACAUCUUCUCGGUCCCUUUUUGAUAUUAUUUUAAAGUAAAAAAAAAAAAAAUCUCAUUUUCUAGCCUCUGAAAUGGAAAGGAAAAACAUCUAAAUUCUCCCUUCCACCUUCACUAAACUUUGAGUGUGUGCUUCUCUUUUCUCCAUAAUAGUUCGUGUUUUAAUAACAUGAAGUGAAAUCAGGAUUUUUAUUAUCACAGUUUACAACACAUUCAUGCAUGAAACAUAAAAUUGGAGGCACUAUCCUGUUUUUGAUCAUUACCUGUGUAUCUCCUUUGUGAAAAACAUGAUCUGCUUUGAUUGCUUGCUGUUUUCCCAGGAGAACUUGAAGCCUCAUAAUCUCUGUACUUUUUUUUUUUUUUUUAACUGAUUCUUUCUCCUUUUGAAGCAACCAGGGCAAGGGAAAAGUCCUAUUUAAGUCUUAUUAUAUUUGAAAAAUGGAGAACAUUGGCCAUGAAUUUUAAACUCUCUUGAAAUGGUUCUGUCUCUACAUCUCUUACCUCAUACAACAAAAUAUCACAUCAGUUCAGUCAUUUCAUCUCUCGGGUCCUAGACCCUGGGAAAAGUCGGUCUGAUAGUUAAUUCCUACAAGGAAGGCUACCUGCACUUAAGAUCUGCUAAACUGAGCUCCUAGAACAUCGUUAAUACUGCAAAAAACGUCACAAUAGUUUACCUUGUGCCAAUUAGUGGUUCCCUUUGAAAGUCUGAAAAGUUUUUAUUUACUGUGUCCAAAUGUUUUCAAUCUUCUGUUAAAUACACCAUCAUUAGUAAUCCUUAAGUUUGCUAAACUGAAUACAUUUUCAAAAGUAUUUAUUUUAAACUUAAACAUAUAAAAGGAAUUAUUUAAAGAACUUUACAUGUCUCCAUAUCUCAGUUCCAAGCAUAUAAAAAGGUGUUAUGAACGGAAUGAUUGCCUUUCCCUAGAAAUCAAAGACUUAUUCUUGUCAUGAGAAUCAAGCAUGUACGUAUUGAAGUUCUGCCUUUACAAAGUGGCCCAAUAUCUCUAUUAGUCCUUUUAAUAUAAGGUUAGAGUGAGAGAAAGCUAUCAAUGAGAUUGUUAGACCCUCACUGGUGCUAAAUGUUUCAAGCUUGAUCCUGGCCUUCUGAUGUAUGGGUCCAUGUGGGACAGAUGUUUAUUGUUGCUAAGCUUCUCAGUUCAUAGUACAUUCAAUAGAAUCCCAAAUGAACUAAGGCAAGGUUCUCAACUGUAGGAAUCAAUGAAUGGAUGAAUAACACAUGAAAUCCUUGGAUGUUUGAAAAGAAGUCCUCCCUAGAACUGGAGGAAAAUACCACAUAACAGGAAAUAGUGAAAUACAAGCAAGAUUGAAUGGAUUAGUGACAUUUUCAACUACUUUUAAAGUAAGCCUUGCAAGGGCUAGAAGAAAUGGAAAGCAGACAUAUUGCUAAUCAGACCUGAGUCUUUAUUAAGUUUAAUAUUUCAGUGUGGCUUGGAAUGUACUCUUCUGCAAACAGCUGCUUUUCCUAGAUGCUUGGGGAAAAGCAAGAUAGUUUCCAAGAUGACAGUUGUCCUUGUUUCUGGGAGAACAAGGAGAAAUAAGGUGAAAUUCCACAGUCUUGAAGAAUCACUAUUGAUAGAAAUUUUUACAAAACAUGUGUCUUGAGAAUUUUUCUUGCAACUUUUUCAUCUAAAGUAUUUGAUGAUGAAUGAUCAGGAGGGAGCUGCAACAGGGGAUUCUGUCUGGUGUGUGUGAGGAAACAAGCCAAAGUUCUGGACUGAGAAAGAGAACUAGAUGAAGCUUCCAGAUCUGAUAUGCCCAGACCUUUCCUGGGUCGCAGGUGCCCCUAUCUGCUGGCCAUACCAAUAUGGCCAGUGUAGAUACUAGGGCAGAAACUAAGCAGCAAAGAUGACCAGAUUCUAUUUUGAUUUUGAUAACACUACCUAUGGGGUAUAAAAUAAUUUUGAUUCAAAAAACACAUUUUUCUUUUAUUGGAUAUUUUUCUUUAUUUACAUUUCGAAUGUUAACCCGUUUGCUGGUCUUCCCUCUGAAAACACCUUAUGCCAUUCCCUCUCACUGCCUUUAUGAGGGUGCUCUCCCACCCACCCACUCCUGGCUUCCAGCCCUGGCUUUUCCCUACUGGGGUGUUGAAUCCCCCUCAGACCAAAGGGCCACUCCUCCCACUGAUGUCCAACAAAGCCAUCUUCUGCCACAUAUGUGGCCAGAGUCAUGGGUCCCUCCAUGUUUGUUGGUGGUCCGGUUCCCCAGAACUCCAGGAGGGUCUGGCCAGUUGACACUGUUGCUCCCCCCAUGGGGCUGCAAACUCUCUCAGCUCCUUCAGUCCCUUCUCCAACUCCUCCAUCAGGAACUCCACACGCAGUCCAAUGGUUGGCUGCAAGCAUCCGCUUCUGUAUUUUUCAGGCUAUGGAAGAGCCUCUCAGGAGACAGCCAUAUCAGGCUUCUGUCAGCAAGCACUUCCAGAAAUCCACACUAGCAUCCAGGUUUGGUUACUGUUUAAGGGAUGGAUCCCCAAGUGGGUCAGUAUCUGGAUGAUUUUCCUUCAGUCUCUGUUCCACACUUUGCCUCCAUAUUUUCUCCUGUGAAUAUUUUGUUCCUCCUUCUAAGAAGGACUAAAGCAUCCACACUUUGGUCUUCCUCCUUGAGCUUCAUAUGGUCUGUGAAUUGUAUCUUGGGUAUUCUGAACUUUUGGACUAAUAUUCACUUAUCAGUGAAUGCAUACAAUGUGUGUUUUUUUGUGAUUAGGUUACCUCACUUAGAAUGAUAUUUUCAAGUUCUAUCAAUUUGCCUAAAAUUUUCAUGAAUUCAUUGUCUUUAGUAGCUGAGUAGUAUUCCACUGUGUAAAUGUACCACAUUUUCUGUAUCCAUUCCUCUGUUGAGGGACAUCUCAGUUGUUUCCAGCUUCUGGCUAUUAUAAAUAUGGCUGCUAUGAACAUAGUGGAGCAUGUGUCCUUAUUACAUGUUGGAGCAUUUUCUGGGUAUAUGCCCAGUAGUAGUAUAGCUGGGUCCUCCAAUCUAUAGAUGCAAUGCAAUCCCCAUCAAAAUUCCAACUCAGUUCUUCAUAGAGUUAGAAAGAAUAAUUUUCAAAUUCAUUUGGAAUAAUAAAAAAAGAUAAGAUAUCGAAAACUAUUCUCAACAAUAAGAGAACGUCUAGGGGAAUCAGCAUUUGUGACCUCAAGCUGUACUACAGAGCAAUAGUGAUAAAAACUGCAUGGUAUUUGUACAGUGACAGGCAGAUAGAUUAAUGGAAUAGAACUGAAGAUCCAGAAAUGAACCCAUAUACCUAUGGUCACUUGAUCUUUGACAAAGGAGCUAAAACUAUCCAGUGGAAAAAAGACAUUUUCAACAAGUGGUGCUUGUUCAACUGUCAGUCAACAUGUAGAAGAAUGCAAAUUGAUCCAUUCUUAUCUCUCUGUACAAAGUUCAAGUCCAAGUGGAUCAAGGAUAUCCACAUAAAACCAGAUACACUGGAUCUAAUAGAAGAGAAAGUGGGGGAAGAGCCUUGAACACAUGGGUACAGGGAAAAAUUUCCUGAACAGAACACCAAUGGCUUAUGCUCUAAGAUCAAGAAUUGACAAAUGGGACAUGAUAAAAUUGAAAAGCUUCUGUAAGGCAAAAGACACUGUCAAUAGGACAAAAUGGCAACCAACAGAUUGGGAAAAGAUCUUUACCAAUCCUACUACUGAUAGAGGACUAAUAUCCAAUGUAUACAAAGAACUGAAGAAGUUAGACUCCAGAGAACCAAAUAACCCUAUUAAAAAGUGGGGAACAGAGCUAAACAGAGAAUUCUCAAGUGAGGAAACUCAAAUGGCCAAGAAGCACCUAAAGAAAUAUUUAACAUCCUUAGUCAUCAGGGAAAUGAAAAUCAAAACAACCCUGAGAUUCCACCUCACACCAGUCAGAAUGGUUAAGAUCAAAAACUCAGGUGACAGCAGAUGCUGGUGAGGAUGUGAAGAAAGAGGAGCACUUCUCCAUUGCUGGAAGGAUUGCAAGCUGAUAUAACCACUGUGGAAAUCAGUCUGGCGGUUCCUCAGAAAAUUGGACAUGGUUCUACUUGAAGAAACACAAAUUUUAAUGCAUGAUCAGUAAACCAGUCUAAGUCAGAACAAAAGAAUGAAGACAAUCCUAUUCUAGAUUUUGCAAGUGAAGAAUUAAAUUUUUUAUGCGUUUUGAGGUUGAGGCUCUAAGCAGAGAAGCUUUCAACCAAGGCAGUUAUUGUUUACAGUCUGCUGCCUUCCAGGAAAGUUCCAGCAGAAGAACUACUUUUUCUAUGGCAUAAAGAUUAAAGGU